Oncorhynchus gorbuscha (pink salmon) is the source of this 879-nucleotide long non-coding RNA. RefSeq lists it as uncharacterized. The record is from RefSeq and is a predicted model, not a curated record. The transcript has 6 exons. NCBI's taxonomy places the organism in Eukaryota, Metazoa, Chordata, Actinopteri, Salmoniformes, Salmonidae.
UAGAGAGAGAGAGGGAUAGAGAGAGGGAAAGAACCUAAUAAGACCAGCAGGGGGAAACGAAUAGAAGAGAAAGCACAGGGACAAGACAUGACAAUAUAUGACAAUACAUGACAUGAACAGUGGGAGAACAACCUGAAGGUAAUUCUCUUUGCACAAAACAGCAGCGUCCAGGCCUCCACCGAGUAUGGACGGGAGCCGCAGCUGUUGACUGAGAUCACUGAAACCCCACCUGAUAUGAUGGAAGUUGUCGAACCAGAUCAGAACGCCUUUGAGUACCACCUUCAAGCACAGACUGAGAAGGAUGGAGGUUUUUGACCGGGUGAGCCUGAACAUCAACAAGGCGCAGGAGGAGCGCUACCGGAGCAGAAUCAAGAAGGUGGCCAGGUGCUAUGACAUCCGGGCAAAUUACUUGGUUUGGAAGAAGGACAAAAGGGUUACCUCGGUGGAAGCCAGCAAUCUUCUCCAGUUGGACGGUCAACCACUGAUGCCCUACACGUCGAUGAAGCCCAAUAGAUAAAGACCAUCGACUGUCCGAGCAACCCAGGAGGUGUCCCAUCCACCAGAACCAGUGAGUUUGGAGAAGAUUGAUUCUCUGUGCUCUGAGUCAGAGGGGGACCAGCUUGAGAUCCUAGGGGUUCUGCAACACCCAGACGUGGAGCCACCUGAUGUCCUCCAUUACAUCAUCUGCAGCUACUGUUGUCAUGUCAUUAUCUGCUAAGAAUGUUCUUGCUAUCAUACUGGGCACAAAGAGAUACACAGAUUAACUAAAAACACUACCAAAACUGUCUGUUGAGAAGAAGCAAUAGACAGAACCUCCCAACCACCCUCCAUAUUCCAUACACCAGAAUUCAUUGUUUGUCUGCCAUGUGUGUACAAUGU